This 603-nucleotide small RNA is filed under the name Arabidopsis thaliana (thale cress). RNAcentral describes it as "ATSL052230". The record is from RNAcentral. Lineage: Eukaryota; Viridiplantae; Streptophyta; Magnoliopsida; Brassicales; Brassicaceae.
ACAUAUGGGAUACUAGAUGCUAAAAAUGUCAAAAAAAUUACGAACUGGGACGAUUUAAUCUUGAAUUUCACGGAAGACAAAUAAAUCGUAAAAUUUUUGUUGACUUUCAAAAUAAAUGACAAAGUUUUAGUUGACUUGCCAUUUGAGUCAUAUCGUUAAAUAGGUUAACAUAAUUUUUUACGGUGUUAAUGUCUGGUUUAUUUGCUCUGUUAGAACAAAACGACGUCGUUUAUUGUAGAACUAUUUCUCGUUUAUCUACUCUGUUAGAACAAAAAAAAUUGUUCUAACAGAGUAGAUAAACGAGAAAUAGUUCAACAGACAAAAUGAUCUGCAAUAAACGACGUUGUUUUGUUCUAACAGAGUAGAUAAACGAGACAUUAACGCCGUAAAUUUUUUUUGUUAACCUAUUUAACGACAUGACUCAAAUGACAAGUCAACAAAAACUUUGUCAUUUAUUUCGAAAGUCAACAAAAACUUUACAAUUUAUUUGUCUUAUGUAAAGUUCAAGAUUAAAUCGUCCCAUAUUUGAAAGUUCGUGAUUUUUUUAACAUUUUUCCCGAUACUAGAUGUGACUUUUAUUUGAAUACUUGGCUUCAUAAUCUC